GAUUUCUGGCCUGAAGUAUUUUGCCGGCCACGGUUUCGUGUGUUAGUGCUUGAUACUCUGGCCAUCCUUCCAAUCGCUAUCUGCUUCUCUUCAUUGAUUAGUAGGUGGUAUUGGAUCUUUUACUUUGAAAAAAUUAGAGUGUUCAAAGCAGGCUUUUGCUAUGAAUAGAUUAGCAUGGAAUAAUAAUUUAGGACUUUGGUCUUAUUUUGUUGGUUUCUAGGACUAAAGUAAUGAUUGAUAGGGACAGUUGGGGGUGCUAGUAUUCAGCGGCCAGAGGUGAAAUUCUUGGAUUCGCUGAAGACUAACUUAUGCGAAAGCAUU
Molecule: ribosomal RNA, 321 nt
Filed under: Sandonidae sp.
Lineage: Eukaryota; Cercozoa; Glissomonadida; Sandonidae
Description: SSU rRNA
Rfam family: Eukaryotic small subunit ribosomal RNA (bases 62-321)
Source: RNAcentral